AUUGAACGCUGGCGGCAGGCCUAACACAUGCAAGUCGAGCGGUAGAGAGGUGCUUGCAUCUCUUGAGAGCGGCGGACGGGUGAGUAAUGCCUAGGAAUCUGCCUAGUGGUGGGGGAUAACGUUUCGGAAACGGACGCUAAUACCGCAUACGUCCUACGGGAGAAAGCGGGGGAUCUUCGGACCUCGCGCCAUUAGAUGAGCCUAGGUCGGAUUAGCUAGUUGGUGAGGUAAUGGCUCACCAAGGCGACGACUACCGUAACGUGGUCUGAGAGGAGUGAUCAGUCACAC
Molecule: ribosomal RNA, 288 nt
Filed under: uncultured bacterium
Lineage: Bacteria
Description: partial 16S ribosomal RNA
Rfam family: Bacterial small subunit ribosomal RNA
Source: RNAcentral